AUACGUAGGUGGCAAGCGUUGUCCGGAAUUAUUGGGCGUAAAGCGCGCGCAGGCGGUCCUUUAAGUCUGAUGUGAAAGCCCACGGCUCAACCGUGGGGGGUCAUUGGAAACUGGGGGACUUGAGUGCAGAAGAGGAAAGUGGAAUUCCAAGUGUAGCGGUGAAAUGCGUAGAGAUUUGGAGGAACACCAGUGGCGAAGGCGACUUUCUGGUCUGUAACUGACGCUGAGGCGCGAAAGCGUGGGGAGCAAACAGGAUUAGAUACCCUGGUAGUCCACGCCGUAAACGAUGAGUGCUAAGUGUUAGGGGGUUUCCGCCCCUUAGUGCUGCAGCUAACGCAUUAAGCACUCCGCCUGGGGAGUACGGUCGCAAGACUGAAACUCAAAGGAAUUGACGGGG
RNAcentral lists this ribosomal RNA (397 nucleotides) under uncultured bacterium. Its description in RNAcentral is "partial 16S ribosomal RNA". It matches the Rfam family "Bacterial small subunit ribosomal RNA", at positions 523 to 918 of the family's 1533-position model. The record is from RNAcentral.